UCUUCUUUCCUUCUUCUUCAUCUUACCGAAUCUCUCCUCCUCGAAGCCAAUGAACUGCACCGACACUUCUCGUCUCUGUACUUCCUUCCUCGCUUUCAGACCGAACCCAAACCAAACCUUCUCCAUAAUCCAAAGCAUGUUCGACGCAUUACCAUCAGACAUAACCGCAGAUACCACCGGAGAAGACGAGGGAGGAGGUUACAUCUACGUCAAGAAGAACUGCUCUUGUCUCACCACGACUCCUCAUCAGUACGCAACGAACACGACAUUCACAAUCAGACAGAACCGUGGCUACGUCUACGAUGCUGUCGUCUCUGCUUACUCUGGUCUCGCGUUCCCACCGAACACUACUAGAGCAUCUAGUGCCGGCGCGGUUGUGUCUGUGCAGCUUCUAUGUGGCUGCUCGAGUGGUCUCUGGAACUACCUUAUGAGCUACGUGACGGUCUCUGGAGACAGUGUUCAAUCUCUCUCGAGCCGGUUCGGUGUUAGUAUGGAUCGAAUCGAGCAGGUUAACGGAAUCUCGAAUCCUGACAAUGUCACAACCGGAGAUCUCAUUUUCAUCCCUCUUGAUUCUGGUAAAGAAUCUUCAAUUUGAUUAUCUUGAAUUAGGCAUGGGCAUUUCGGGUAUCGGUUCGGUUUUGGGUUUUUCAGUUCUGGUUUAGGAAAUUCGGUGUGGUUUUGGUUUGAUUAUUUAGAUUCGGCUUGGGUAAUAAGGUUGGGAUCCGGCUAACAUCCGAGAUAAUUUUGGGUCUAAUUCAGUUCAGUUCUGGUUUUCCGGUUAAUUCGGGUUUAAAAAUCAGAUAAUUCAGGUUUUUGGAGUUACAUUAUCAUAUCUUUUUAGGUUUUAAGACAAAACAGUUUAAUGAUCUUGUUCUUGUCGUCUUGUUUAAGUGCCUGGAGUGCUUUAUGAAGCAAGGAAGAUAAACCCUCCUGCUCCUUCUCCUUCUCCUGUUUUAACCAAUAGCAAUAUCUCAGGUUCUGAUUUAUUUUUGUCUUAACUGAAUCUGAGGGUUUACUAUUUUUAGUAUCAUGAGACUCACAUUUAUAUAUAUUUUCCAAUUUUGGAAAAAGCUGCUGACCAGGUGAAUCACACUUCAAAGGGAGGUCAUGUCCCUUAUAUAUGGAUUGUUGGUGGUCUUACAGUUGUGCUUGCGCUUCCCGUCUCUGUACUUCCUUCCUCGCUUUCAAACCAAACCCAAACCAAACCUUCUCCAUAAUCCAAAGCAUGUUCGACGCAUUGCCAUCCGACAUAACCGCAGAUUCCACCGGAGAAGACGACGGAGGAGGUUACAUCUACGUCAAGAAGAACUGUUCUUGUCUCACCACGACUCCUCAUCAGUACGCAACGAACACGACAUUCACAAUCAGACAGAACCGUGGCUACGUCUACGAUGCUGUCGUCUCUGCUUACUCUGGUCUCGCGUUCCCACCGAACACUACUAGAGCAUCUAGUGCCGGCGCGGUUGUGUCUGUGCAGCUUCUAUGUGGUUGCUCGAGUGGUCUCUGGAACUACCUUAUGAGCUACGUGACGGUCUCUGGAGACAGUGUUCAAUCUCUCUCGAGCCGGUUCGGUGUUAGUAUGGAUCGAAUCGAGCAGGUUAACGGAAUCUCGAAUCCUGACAAUGUCACAACCGGAGAUCUCAUUUUCAUCCCUCUUGAUUCUGGUAAAGAAUCUUCAAUUUGAUUAUCUUGAAUUAGGCAUGGGCAUUUCGGGUAUCGGUUCGGUUUUGGGUUUUUCAGUUCUGGUUUAGGAAAUUCGGUGUGGUUUUGGUUUGAUUAUUUAGAUUCGGCUUGGGUAAUAAGGUUGGGAUCCGGCUAACAUCCGAGAUAAUUUUGGGUCUAAUUCAGUUCAGUUCUGGUUUUCCGGUUAAUUCGGGUUUAAAAAUCAGAUAAUUCAGGUUUUUGGAGUUACAUUAUCAUAUCUUUUUAGGUUUUAAGACAAAACAGUUUAAUGAUCUUGUUCUUGUCGUCUUGUUUAAGUGCCUGGAGUGCUUUAUGAAGCAAGGAAGAUAAACCCUCCUGCUCCUUCUCCUUCUCCUGUUUUAACCAAUAGCAAUAUCUCAGGUUCUGAUUUAUUUUUGUCUUAACUGAAUCUGAGGGUUUACUAUUUUUAGUAUCAUGAGACUCACAUUUAUAUAUAUUUUCCAAUUUUGGAAAAAGCUGCUGACCAGGUGAAUCACACUUCAAAGGGAGGUCAUGUCCCUUAUAUAUGGAUUGUUGGUGGUCUUACAGUUGUGCUUGCGCUUCUUGUGAUGUGUAUACUUGUGUGUAUCUGUUUGAGAUCAUCUAGUUGCGGAUCUAGUGAUGAAGAUGGUAAUGAACACAACUUCCAAAUCCUUAGAAAGUCCAGUUUCUUCUGCGGGUCUAGUCGGUAUAACUGCUGCGGAUCCGGGGAUUUUAGACCGACAAACGGUGAAGAAACCCAGAGCCAUCAUCAAGCUGUUGCUAUUCCUAAAGGUAUGGUUUUUUGUUUCAUCAUCUAUGGCUUCUCCUUUAUAACGGUUUUUCUUUUAUAUGUAUGUAGCUCUUGGUGAUGGAGUGUUUGAGAUAGAGAAGCCUAUGGUGUUUACUUAUGAAGAAAUUCAUGCUGCUACAGAUGGAUUCUCUGAUUCUAAUCUUCUUGGUCAUGGAAAUCUGCUCGAGUGGUCUCUGGAACUACCUUAUGAGCUACGUGACGGUCUCUGGAGACAGUGUUCAAUCUCUCUCGAGCCGGUUCGGUGUUAGUAUGGAUCGAAUCGAGCAGGUUAACGG
RNAcentral lists this long non-coding RNA (2751 nucleotides) under Brassica napus (rape). Its description in RNAcentral is "long non-coding RNA (BNAP_LNC006529)". Lineage: Eukaryota; Viridiplantae; Streptophyta; Magnoliopsida; Brassicales; Brassicaceae. The record is from RNAcentral.